Molecule: ribosomal RNA, 543 nt
Filed under: fungal endophyte
Lineage: Eukaryota; Fungi
Description: eukaryotic LSU rRNA
Rfam family: Eukaryotic large subunit ribosomal RNA
Source: RNAcentral
CGGCGAAGUGAAGCGGCAACAGCUCCAAAUUUUGAAAUCUGGCUCCUCGGGCCCGAAGUUGUAAUUUGUAGAGGAUACUUUUGAUGCGGUGCCUUCCGAGUUCCCUGGAACGGGACGCCAUAGAGGGUGAGAGCCCCGUCUGGUUGGAUGCCAAAUCUCUGUAAAGUUCCUUCAACGAGUCGAGUAGUUUGGGAAUGCUGCUCUAAAUGGGAGGUAUAUGUCUUCUAAAGCUAAAUACCGGCCAGAGACCGAUAGCGCACAAGUAGAGUGAUCGAAAGAUGAAAAGCACUUUGAAAAGAGAGUUAAAAAGUACGUGAAAUUGUUGAAAGGGAAGCGUUUAUGACCAGACUUGGGCUUGGUUAAUCAUCUGGGGUUCUCCCCAGUGCACUUUUCCAGUCCAGGCCAGCAUCAGUUUUCCCCGGGGGAUAAAGGCGGCGGGAAUGUGGCUCUCUUCGGGGAGUGUUAUAGCCCACCGUGUAAUACCCUGGGGGGGACUGAGGUUCGCGCAUCUGCAAGGAUGCUGGCGUAAUGGUCAUCAACGAC